GUGUCAGCCGCCGCGGUAAUACAGAGGUCCCGAGCGUUGUUCGGAUUCACUGGGCGUAAAGGGUGCGUAGGUGGUGGGGUAAGUCGGAUGUGAAAUCUCCAAGCUCAACUUGGAAAUGGCAUUGGAAACUGCCCUGCUAGAGGAUCGGAGGGGGGACUGGAAUACUUGGUGUAGCAGUGAAAUGCGUAGAUAUCAAGUGGAACACCAGUGGCGAAGGCGAGUCCCUGGACGAUACCUGACACUGAGGCACGAAAGCUAGGGGAGCAAACAGGAUUAGAAACCCGCGUAGUCC
Molecule: ribosomal RNA, 292 nt
Filed under: uncultured bacterium
Lineage: Bacteria
Description: partial 16S ribosomal RNA
Rfam family: Bacterial small subunit ribosomal RNA
Source: RNAcentral